GGCCGAUUCGACUAGAGGACGAGGUCACGGGAAUUUCACUCCCGAGACGUGGGUUCGAAUCCCGCAUCGGUCGCUA
Molecule: transfer RNA, 76 nt
Filed under: Lachnospiraceae bacterium
Lineage: Bacteria; Bacillati; Bacillota; Clostridia; Lachnospirales; Lachnospiraceae
Description: tRNA-Glu
Rfam family: tRNA
About the family: Transfer RNA (tRNA) molecules are approximately 80 nucleotides in length. Their secondary structure includes four short double-helical elements and three loops (D, anti-codon, and T loops).
Source: RNAcentral